Molecule: long non-coding RNA, 1366 nt
Organism: Acinonyx jubatus (cheetah)
Lineage: Eukaryota; Metazoa; Chordata; Mammalia; Carnivora; Felidae
Exons: 3
Source: RefSeq, a predicted model, not a curated record
GCGGGCUGCAGAAGGCUGUCCCGUGGGCACCGGCGAUCGGGGCUCAGAGAAACUGGCACGGCAGACUGUGUGUGGCUCCUGGUCCCAUCUUGGAGCUGCAGGAUUCCAACCAACCAGAGGGGUCUGUGGUCCCCCCGGAAGCCAACACCAGCUGCAGCCACUGCCAACAGUGUGGGUCAUAAGGGAUCAGAAUGUCCUAUAUGUUUGUGAACAUAAUUCGUCCCGGGAACAUGCUCGUGAUCCAAAGCACUGGUGUAUCAAAGCGAAUUUCCCCGUAAGAAAGAACAGAAGCUCAGAUGAUUCGUUCCACACCCCGAAAGUAUUCAUAUGCAAAGGAUUACAAUACUGUAAUAUAAUACAAAAUAAUAAAGAAAAACACAUCAAUCCCCAACCUUCAUGGCUGGUGUGAGGGAGACCAGAGAGAGGAGGGUUAUUGCGUAGGACGACUUUCACUAUCACUAAUGGAAUCACUGCUAUCUUUUGGCUCAGCGGAAUUUUCUUCUGCGUGGGGGCCAUUGCGUAGACUUGCACGGAUGUUGUCUACAGCAUUAACAAACUCUUGUCAUACUGUCUUUAAUGUAACUGGCAAUAAGGCAGCAGAGGAAAGGGUCUCUGUCAGCAGGCAGCCUGACCUAGAAGGAAGCAAAACAUUCCCAAGCUCACUCUUGUCUGGAAAAGCAAGUGACUGUCCAUUGGUGCUUUGACGUGACAAAAAAUACACAAGUGCCUGUCGUGGGCACCUUCCAAUGUCCUGAAAAAUCGCUGAUUUCGGCCAAACACCUGGCCCUGAGACUGAGCAUCCAAACAUGGGAGAGGAUCACCCACAAUCCCGCAGAGAGAGAGAGAGAGAGAGAGAGAGAAGAACCAUUGGCUCAGCUGCGAUCAUGUGACGUUCGGUGUCACGUAAGACUCGUAUUGCAAGACAGAGCUCGUCUAUCGAGUUAAAAUGUGCUAGGAAUGUUUGCUGGUCUCGCGGAACUCUCGCAGAGCAAGUUACGCGCAAUCCAAGGUUUCACUGCACUUGGGGUCACACGCUGUGUGGCUUUCGGAUUGGCUCCCUCACUCAAUAAUAUACACUUAAGGCUCUCCCGUGUCUUUCCGUGGCUGGGGAGCUCAUUCUUUUUGGCACUGAACAAUAUUCCAUUGUCUGGACGGACCACAGUUUAUUUAUCCAUCCACCUACUGAAGGACAUCUUGGCCACUUCCGAGUUUUGGCAAUUAUGAAUAAAGCCGCUAUAAACAUCCGUGUGCAGGUUUUUGUGUGGACAUAAGUUUGCAGCUCCUUUGGGUAAAUACCAAAGAGUGCGAUUGCUGGAUCAUAUGGUAAGCCUAUGUUUAGCUUUGUAAGAAAGUGCUUUGUUGUUUU